GACGAACGCUGGCGGCGUGCUUAACACAUGCAAGUCACGGGGCCGCAGGCGACGCGACGGUGCGUAACACGUGAGCAACCUGCCGAUCUGAGGGGGAGUAGCCGGCCCAACGGCCGGGUAAGUACCGCAUACGCUUUCUUGGCCUCCUGGCUAGGGAAGGAAACCUCCGGGGCGAGAUCGAGGGGCUCGCGGCCUAUCAGCUAGUUGGCGGUGUAAUGGACCACCAAGGCGACGACGGGGUAGCUGGUCUGAGAGGA
This 257-nucleotide ribosomal RNA is filed under the name uncultured bacterium. Its description in RNAcentral is "partial 16S ribosomal RNA". It matches the Rfam family "Bacterial small subunit ribosomal RNA", at positions 28 to 300 of the family's 1533-position model. The record is from RNAcentral.